UCACGCCCCACCUCGGGCCCGCCUCCGGCCGCCAUCUCCAGUGUGGCUGGAUGUAAAGUGAGCAAGCUAGAAACCCGAGAAGGGAGGAGAGGGAUGGGGAUCAAAUGUAUCAGAAAGGAGCUAAAUCUGAUGCCUACUCAACGUGAAGACAAUGAGAAGCCCUUUGUGAUGAUCCACGUCCACCUAAUGAAUAGAAGAAGAAACAGAUGGGAUUGGUGAGCAUCUAGCCAAUUUCCACCACAAAUGCUCAUUUUGGCUGCCUCCAGGCCAAAGGUAAAAACUAAAAAGCCAGAGAAUACUAAAUGUUGGCCAAGAUGAGGAAAACAGAAACUCUCAUCCUCUGCUAGUUGGAAUGAAAAUUGAUGCAACGUCCCUGGAAAACAGUUUGGUAUUACCUAGCAAAGUAGAACCUGUGCCUCCCCUACAACCCAGCAAUUCCACUCCUGGUAUACAAUCAAAAUAAACUUUUGUACUUGUAUCCCAAAUAA
RNAcentral lists this long non-coding RNA (488 nucleotides) under Homo sapiens (human). RNAcentral describes it as "HSALNT0311267". The record is from RNAcentral. Lineage: Eukaryota; Metazoa; Chordata; Mammalia; Primates; Hominidae.